GCUUGUCUCAAAGAUUAAGCCAUGCAUGUCUAAGUAUAGUACCUUAUACUGCGAAACUGCGAAUGGCUCAUUAAAUCAGUUAUAAUUCAUUUGAUGGUACUUACUACUCGGAUAACCGUAGUAAUUCUAGAGCUAAUACAUGCAUCAAUCCUCUAUUUGAGGUGUAUUUAUUAGAUUGUAACCAAAGCGGGGUAACCCGGUAUAUGGUGAUUCAUAAUAACUUUCGGAUCGAUUUUAAUCGAUGCAUCAUUCAAGUUUCUGCCCUAUCAGCUUUGGAUGGUAGGGUAUUGGCCUACCAUGGCUUUAACGGGUAACGGAGAAUUAGGGUUCGAUUCCGGAGAGGGAGCCUGAGAAAUGGCUACCACAUCCAAGGAAGGCAGCAGG
RNAcentral lists this ribosomal RNA (384 nucleotides) under uncultured Chrysophyceae. RNAcentral describes it as "partial small subunit ribosomal RNA". It matches the Rfam family "Eukaryotic small subunit ribosomal RNA", at positions 30 to 432 of the family's 1831-position model. Lineage: Eukaryota; Chrysophyceae. The record is from RNAcentral.